Molecule: ribosomal RNA, 444 nt
Filed under: uncultured bacterium
Lineage: Bacteria
Description: bacterial SSU rRNA
Rfam family: Bacterial small subunit ribosomal RNA
Source: RNAcentral
AACGAACGCUGGCGGCAUGCCUAACACAUGCAAGUCGAACGAAGCCUUCGGGCUUAGUGGCGCACGGGUGCGUAACGCGUGGGAAUCUGCCCUUAGGUACGGAAUAACUCAGGGAAACUUGUGCUAAUACCGUAUGAUGUCGAGAGACCAAAGAUUUAUCGCCCAAGGAUGAGCCCGCGUAAGAUUAGCUAGUUGGUGGGGUAAAAGCCUACCAAGGCGACGAUCUUUAGCUGGUCUGAGAGGAUGAUCAGCCACACUGGGACUGAGACACGGCCCAGACUCCUACGGGAGGCAGCAGUGGGGAAUAUUGGACAAUGGGCGAAAGCCUGAUCCAGCAAUGCCGCGUGAGUGAUGAAGGCCCUAGGGUUGUAAAGCUCUUUUACCAGGGAUGAUAAUGACAGUACCUGGAGAAUAAGCUCCGGCUAACUCCGUGCCAGCAGCCGC